AACGGCCCACCAAGGCGACGAUGCGUAGGGGUUCUGAGAGGAAGGUCCCCCACACUGGUACUGAGACACGGACCAGACUCCUACGGGAGGCAGCAGUGAGGAAUAUUGGUCAAUGGCCGCAGGGCUGAACCAGCCAAGUCGCGUGAGGGAUGACGGUCCUAUGGAUUGUAAACCUCUUUUGUCAGGGAGCAAAGGACGCCACGUGUGGCGUUUUGCGAGUACCUGAAGAAAAAGCAUCGGCUAACUCCGUGCCAGCAGCCGCGGUAAUACGGAGGAUGCGAGCGUUAUCCGGAUUUAUUGGGUUUAAAGGGUGCGCAGGCGGAAUGUCAAGUCAGCGGUAAAAUUUCGGGGCUCAACCCCGUCGUGCCGUUGAAACUGGCGUUCUUGAGUGAGCGAGAAGUAUGCGGAAUGCGUGGUGUAGCGGUGAAAUGCAUAGAUAUCACGCAGAACUCCGAUUGCGAAGGCAGCAUACCGGCGCUCAACUGACGCUCAUGCACGAAAGCGUGGGUAUCGAACAGGAUUAGAUACCCUGGUAGUCCACGCAGUAAACGAUGAAUACUAACUGUCCGGGCCGAUUGAGGUCUGG
Molecule: ribosomal RNA, 586 nt
Filed under: uncultured bacterium
Lineage: Bacteria
Description: bacterial SSU rRNA
Rfam family: Bacterial small subunit ribosomal RNA
Source: RNAcentral